This 69-nucleotide transfer RNA is filed under the name Bombus breviceps. Its description in RNAcentral is "tRNA-Pro". The record is from RNAcentral. Lineage: Eukaryota; Metazoa; Arthropoda; Insecta; Hymenoptera; Apidae.
CAAAAAAUAGUUUAAUUAAAAUAAUAAUUUUGGGAAUUAUUGAUAUUUUUUAGAAUAAAAUUUUUUUGA